This 316-nucleotide long non-coding RNA is filed under the name Elaeis guineensis (African oil palm). RNAcentral's name for it is "long non-coding RNA (EGUI_LNC020582)". The record is from RNAcentral. Lineage: Eukaryota; Viridiplantae; Streptophyta; Magnoliopsida; Arecales; Arecaceae.
UCCAUCGCCAGGGCCAAGGGGAUCCUGGAAUGGUCCCAAAACCCAUGGCCAUGCUAAGAAACUUGUGUUUCAAGGAUUCCUAGCUCUGGCUCCUUGUAGGCUCGAGUGCUUGUUAGUUUUUAGCAUUUGGCUUGUGGUAGUGUUUGCGACCUUGGUUUCAAUUUGUGGGUAUCCAAUAUAUGGAUGACAGAUUAGAUAGAAUGAUGUACCAAAAACAAAAAUAUAUCAUAUAGAAUGGAUGGUGGACAUUUAUUUUUAUUACAUUCUUGGAAGAUACUAACAUGGAAUCAAAGUAGAUAGAUAAGUAUAUAUGAAG